RNAcentral lists this non-coding RNA (67 nucleotides) under uncultured eukaryote. The record is from RNAcentral.
ACAACAACGGUGACAAGGAUGCGGGAACAGCAAGCCCCGACACUGUCACAACCGACGAGGAUUUCUC